ACCGAUGCUUCAGAUGGAGGA
This 21-nucleotide non-coding RNA is filed under the name Arabidopsis thaliana (thale cress). Lineage: Eukaryota; Viridiplantae; Streptophyta; Magnoliopsida; Brassicales; Brassicaceae. The record is from RNAcentral.